UUUAAAGAGAGUUUGAUCCUGGCUCAGGACGAACGCUGGCGGCGUGCCUAAUACAUGCAAGUCGAACGAACGGAGGAAGAGCUUGCUCUUCCAAAGUUAGUGGCGGACGGGUGAGUAACACGUGGGCAACCUGCCUGUAAGUUGGGGAUAACUCCGGGAAACCGGGGCUAAUACCGAAUGAUAGAAUGUGGCGCAUGCCA
RNAcentral lists this ribosomal RNA (200 nucleotides) under Listeria monocytogenes. RNAcentral's name for it is "partial 16S ribosomal RNA". It matches the Rfam family "Bacterial small subunit ribosomal RNA", at positions 1 to 195 of the family's 1533-position model. Lineage: Bacteria; Bacillati; Bacillota; Bacilli; Caryophanales; Listeriaceae. The record is from RNAcentral.